Molecule: long non-coding RNA, 1445 nt
Organism: Daphnia carinata
Lineage: Eukaryota; Metazoa; Arthropoda; Branchiopoda; Diplostraca; Daphniidae
Exons: 4
Source: RefSeq, a predicted model, not a curated record
UGACAAUUAUUUUAUUUUGCUGCAAUGUUUGGUAAACUGCCAUUAUGCCCAAUAUUUUUGUCUUUUCAUUUUAGGUCUACCCUUAGAUGAUCUAUACCUGAUUCUGUGUUCUAAAGUGAUCUGCUUUCACAGCUACAUUUCUGUGUUCUUUUCUGUUGGUCUAUGGUUCUGAAUUGAGGCAGGGCAUAUCUUUUUAUGCUAUGUCACUAAGUACUAUAGGGAAAAAAAAUAACUGAAGUUCAUUGAGGUCUCUUCUGAUUCUCCUGAUAUGCAUCUCAACUGAUUUUUAUUUGCUUUUUAACAUCCAUUUCAUAGUGGUACGUGUGGCUUUGAUUAAUAUUACCAUAAAGACUGCCGAAAAUAGGUGUGGUACGAAAACUCAGAAAUGGCAUGAGUUCAACAUCAAACAUGGAUUAGAAUUUUAGCGGUGGAUCAAGUCAAGUUUGGGAGUGUUACAGGAUGGAAGAGUCGGCCUGUAGUUGAAAAAACACUGAGAAUGCAUUACCAUUAAGGUAUAAGUUCUGUCACAGCUAGAUGCCUCAAAUAACUCUGCUUCUCUGGCUAAAGAACAACUUGUCGUUUACGUUCAGAGUGUUGGUGAAACUGGGUACUUAAAUGGCCCUAAAGAUGUUUCACUUCGCUGCGAUUGCGGCGAUGAACAUCAUAUAUGGAUGCUUUAGGUAUGAAAGGAAUUUGCUUCAAAUAAUUUUGAAUUUAUGAUGAAGCAUUUCUCCCCUUUUUGCCAACCAUGUCUAAUCUACAAAAAAAAAGUUUAUCCAAUAGGAAAGGAUUUUCAUAUACUGGGAACACUACUAUCAACAAUGCAACAUUCUAUGUGUGCUAGUUUAUCAUUCAAGAGCCUUGUGCAAUCAUGUUAAUCUGCAAUUUGUAUGCCAUUUCCGAAGCCUCCACCAGAAGUUAAUAGUAACAUUGGAUCUGAAAAGAUUCUUGGUUGGGGCAAGACACUGAAUAAAUUGUAAUAAUUGGAUGGAUGCCAUGACAUUUCUAUACUUCAUUCGGAUUCCCGACACGGUAUUUUAUAUUUAAAAAAUUGAAGUGCAUAUCUGGGCUCCCUUCUUUUCUGUGGCCCCGUUUCCCUUAAAUUUUUAAUAAGCCCGUAGGGGGUCAUGCCCCUACUGUACGGUAUAUAUAAAAACAACAUAUACCGAGGUUUGGAGGGCUCUGGCCGGAAAGGGGACGUGGGGUGUCCGCUUAGUCCGAUGAAGUCUUCACGGAGGGCGACGUGGCUGCCCACAAAUCCGAAUUAAUGGCUAAUCGCUCCUGUAAAAAUGUUCCAUAUCUUCGGCUCUUCUUCCGGCUUCUCUUAGCCAAUCACCGGGUAAUCUCCCCGGUGGGUCAACAAGGCAGUGUCUCCCCCUGCCUGGGUUGACGGCAACUUCUGAAAGGGCUGUUAUGCCUUUUUAGAGUUGCAAAAAAAAUUGUAA